Molecule: ribosomal RNA, 611 nt
Filed under: uncultured bacterium
Lineage: Bacteria
Description: bacterial SSU rRNA
Rfam family: Bacterial small subunit ribosomal RNA
Source: RNAcentral
CCUACGGGAGGCAGCAGUAAGGAAUAUUGGACAAUGGGCGAAAGCCUGAUCCAGCCAUGCCGCGUGAAGGAUUAAGGCCCUCUGGGUUGUAAACUUCUUUUAUAGGGGACGAAAAAAGGGAAUUCUUUCCCUCCUGACGGUACCCUAUGAAUAAGCACCGGCUAACUCCGUGCCAGCAGCCGCGGUAAUACGGAGGGUGCAAGCGUUAUCCGGAUUCACUGGGUUUAAAGGGUGCGUAGGCGGGUAGGUAAGUCAGUGGUGAAAUCUCGAAGCUUAACUUCGAAACUGCCAUUGAUACUAUUUAUCUUGAAUAUUGUGGAGGUUUGCGGAAUAUGUCAUGUAGCGGUGAAAUGCUUAGAUAUGACAUAGAACACCUAUUGCGAAGGCAGCAGGCUACGCAUAUAUUGACGCUGAGGCACGAAAGCGUGGGGAUCAAACAGGAUUAGAUACCCUGGUAGUCCACGCCCUAAACGAUGAUUACUCGACAUUUGUGAUACACUAUAAGUGUCUGAGCGAAAGCAUUAAGUAAUCACCUGGAAGUACGACCGCAAGGUUGAAACUUACGAAGUAGUAGCGNGAGAGAGCGACGACGACGACGACGGAGGAGGAGG